This 467-nucleotide ribosomal RNA is filed under the name uncultured bacterium. RNAcentral's name for it is "partial 16S ribosomal RNA". It matches the Rfam family "Bacterial small subunit ribosomal RNA", at positions 28 to 507 of the family's 1533-position model. The record is from RNAcentral.
GACGAACGCUGGCGGCGUGCUUAACACAUGCAAGUCGAACGGAAAGGCUCCAGCUUGCUGGAGUACUCGAGUGGCGAACGGGUGAGUAACACGUGGGUAAUCUGCCCUGCACUCUGGGAUAAGCCUGGGAAACUGGGUCUAAUACUGGAUAUGACCUUUCUCCUUAUGGGGUUUGGUGGAAAGUUUUUCGGUGUAGGAUGAGCCCGCGGCCUAUCAGCUUGUUGGUGGGGUGAUGGCCUACCAAGGCGACGACGGGUAGCCGGCCUGAGAGGGUGAUCGGCCACAUUGGGACUGAGAUACGGCCCAGACUCCUACGGGAGGCAGCAGUGGGGAAUAUUGCACAAUGGGCGGAAGCCUGAUGCAGCGACGCUGCGUGAGGGAUGACGGCCUUCGGGUUGUAAACCUCUUUCAGCAGGGACGAAGCGUAAGUGACGGUACCUGCAGAAGAAGCACCGGCUAACUAUGUG